RNAcentral lists this ribosomal RNA (300 nucleotides) under uncultured Kosmotoga sp. RNAcentral's name for it is "bacterial SSU rRNA". It matches the Rfam family "Bacterial small subunit ribosomal RNA", at positions 495 to 795 of the family's 1533-position model. Lineage: Bacteria; Thermotogati; Thermotogota; Thermotogae; Kosmotogales; Kosmotogaceae. The record is from RNAcentral.
GACACAUAGGGUGCCGUAGCCGGGGUAAUGCGGGGGGGGCAAGGGGGGUCCGGAUGUGUUUGGCGUAAUGAGGUCGUAGGCGGCUGAGUAAGGCGGGUGGUAAGUCCCCAGGCGCAACCUGGGACACCACCCGAUACGGCUCUGGCGAGAGUCCGGUAGGGGAGCGGGGAAUUCCGGGUGUAGCGGUGAAAUGCGCAGAUAUCAGGAGGAACACCAGCGGCGAAGGCGGCGCUCUGGGCCGGAACUGACGCUGAGGAGCGAAAGCGUGGGUAGCAAACAGGAUUAGAUACCCUAGUAGUC